UGCGGGGGGGUGCGCAUCUCUCAGCCUGGAUUUUGAGAGGGCACAGGCCAGGCUGAGGGACGCCACCGGUGCAUG
RNAcentral lists this microRNA precursor (75 nucleotides) under Myotis brandtii (Brandt's bat). RNAcentral's name for it is "mir-9193 microRNA precursor family". It matches the Rfam family "mir-9193 microRNA precursor family". The record is from Rfam by way of RNAcentral. Lineage: Eukaryota; Metazoa; Chordata; Mammalia; Chiroptera; Vespertilionidae.